This is a non-coding RNA of Phrynosoma platyrhinos (Desert horned lizard), 72 nucleotides long. The record is from the annotation of a GenBank genome assembly. NCBI's taxonomy places the organism in Eukaryota, Metazoa, Chordata, Lepidosauria, Squamata, Phrynosomatidae.
GCCAGCAUGGCAUAGUGGUCUGAGUAUCAGAUUACAACUCUGGAGACCAGGGUUUGAAUCCUUGCUCAACCA